Triticum aestivum (bread wheat) is the source of this 134-nucleotide non-coding RNA. Lineage: Eukaryota; Viridiplantae; Streptophyta; Magnoliopsida; Poales; Poaceae. The record is from Rfam.
GAUGUACUCCCUCCGUCCGAAAAUACUUGUCAUCAAAAUGAACAAAAGGGGAUGUAUCUAGACGUAUUUUAGCUCUAGAUACAUCCCUUUUUAUCCAUUUUGAGACAAGUAUUUUCGGACGGAGGGAGUAUUUC